This 568-nucleotide long non-coding RNA is filed under the name Vigna radiata. RNAcentral's name for it is "long non-coding RNA (VRAD_LNC003578)". Lineage: Eukaryota; Viridiplantae; Streptophyta; Magnoliopsida; Fabales; Fabaceae. The record is from RNAcentral.
UGGGGUGGUGGUGAUGUUGAGGUCGGAACUCUGGAGGAACUCGCGGAGGCAGGCGAUGAGUUUGAAUUCAGAGACCAUGGGUGGAAGUUUACCAAACCAAAACCAACCCUUCUUCGAAUGCACGAGUUGGGUUGCAACAGGUCACUCACCCUAAGACUGAGUUUCUGCAUAAAAGAAAAUGGAAAAACUUGACGUAGAGGAGAGAGAAAAAACAUUAAUACGAAAGAGAGGACGUAUAUCAGACUGUGAGGAGAGAGAAGAGAGAGAAGAGAAAAGACAGAAAAAGUUGAGAGUGUUACAAUAAGAACAAAGGAUAGAGAGGAAAAAUUGUUCCACGUCAGACAAAGUUAACACCGUUACUGUGAAUUUAACAUAAGGGACCUAUUAAAAGCAAAAUCAGUAACCUGAGAACCAAAUUUAAUCACUUUUAAAAGCGGGUAUCAAACAUAAAUUCAGCCCCUAACUUGGGGACUAAAAAGGUAAUUAAGCCAAGAAAAAGAUGUUUCAAGAAAAAAUAUAUUAUGAAUUUAUAUAUCCCUUCAAGAAUCUAAUAUUAUAAAUGGAUAAG